GACGAACGCUGGCGGCGUGCUUAACACAUGCAAGUCGAACGGAAAGGCCCUGCUUUUGUGGGGUGCUCGAGUGGCGAACAGGUGAGUAACACGUGAGUAACCUGCCCUUGACUUUGUGAUAACUUCAGGGAACUGGGGCUAAUACCGGAUAGGAGCUCCUGCUGCAUGGUGGUGGUUGGAGAGAUUCGGCGGUUGGGGAUGGACUCGCGGCUUAUCAGCUUGUUGGUGGGGUAGUGGCUUACGAAGGGUUUGACGGGUAGGCGGCCUGAGAGGGUGACCGGCCACAUUGGGACUGAGGUACGGCCCAGAAGCCUACGGGAGGCAGCAGUGGGGAAUAUUGCGCAACGGGCGGAAGCCUGAUGUAGCAACGCUGCGUGCGGGAUGAUGGCCUUCGGGGUGUAAACCGAUUUCGCCUGUGACGAAGAGUGAGUGACGGUAAUGGGUAAAGAAGCACCGGCUAACUACGUG
RNAcentral lists this ribosomal RNA (468 nucleotides) under uncultured bacterium. Its description in RNAcentral is "partial 16S ribosomal RNA". It matches the Rfam family "Bacterial small subunit ribosomal RNA", at positions 28 to 507 of the family's 1533-position model. The record is from RNAcentral.